CCACGACCCCGGCCAGGCCUGGGUGCUCGUGUUCGCGAUCACGAUGAUGGCGGGGCUGCUCGUCUCGCUGCUGGUGCGCCGCCGGCGGGUGUGGG
RNAcentral lists this transfer RNA (95 nucleotides) under Mycobacterium bohemicum DSM 44277. RNAcentral's name for it is "tRNA-???(cgcg)". The record is from RNAcentral. Lineage: Bacteria; Bacillati; Actinomycetota; Actinomycetes; Mycobacteriales; Mycobacteriaceae.